GAGGGUAUAGCUCAGUAGUAGAGCACAUGUUUAGCGUGCAUGAGGGCAUGGGUUCAACCCCCAGUACCUCCU
RNAcentral lists this transfer RNA (72 nucleotides) under Camelus bactrianus (Bactrian camel). It matches the Rfam family "tRNA". From Rfam's summary of the family: Transfer RNA (tRNA) molecules are approximately 80 nucleotides in length. Their secondary structure includes four short double-helical elements and three loops (D, anti-codon, and T loops). The record is from Rfam by way of RNAcentral. RNAcentral also lists the same sequence under 2 other names. Lineage: Eukaryota; Metazoa; Chordata; Mammalia; Artiodactyla; Camelidae.